GAUGAACGCUGGCGGCGUGCCUAAUACAUGCAAGUAGAACGCUGAAGGAAGGAGCUUGCUCUUUCCGGAUGAGUUGCGAACGGGUGAGUAACGCGUAGGUAACCUGCCUGGUAGCGGGGGAUAACUAUUGGAAACGAUAGCUAAUACCGCAUAACAGUAGAUGUUGCAUGAUAUCUACUUAAAAGGUGCAAUUGCACCACUACCAGAUGGACCUGCGUUGUAUUAGGUAGUUGGUGAGGUAACGGCUCACCAAGGCGACGAUACAUAGCCGACCUGGGAGGGUGGUCGGCCACACCGGGAAUGAGACACGGCCCAGACUCCUACGGGAGGCAGCAGUAGGGAAUCUUCGGCAAUGGACGGAAGUCUGACCGAGCAACGCCGCGUGAGUGAAGAAGGUUUUCGGAUCGUAAAGCUCUGUUGUAAGGGAAGAACGAGUGUGAGAGUGGAAAGUUCACACUGUGACGGUAUCUUACCAGAAAGGGACGGCUAACUACGUG
This 497-nucleotide ribosomal RNA is filed under the name uncultured bacterium. RNAcentral's name for it is "partial 16S ribosomal RNA". It matches the Rfam family "Bacterial small subunit ribosomal RNA", at positions 28 to 507 of the family's 1533-position model. The record is from RNAcentral.